CCGUUCGGAGCUGAUCCUGGUCUGUUGGAGUAAAGAUGCAUCUAAAAGUUGCAGGAUGGUAGCUCUCGAGGACUGGAUGUGAGCACCCUUGGUUUAUUAACUUUGUUAGCAGCUAAAGCUAGCCAAGCAGGUGUAGCAUGGGGUGUCGGUGGUUAAACGGACAUUAAAACUGUCAGAAAGGCCGUUUGAGUUAACAUUAUUUAGCUGCGGAGUCGUUUUCUUGAAGUUUUCGGCUAUAGACGGCAUAAUGGGGAGAGUGGCUGUGCUGGACCGGUGGUUUGAUCUAUGCGAGCAAAGCUGAGCCAAAAUGUUUUUGUCUCUAUAAAUAAUAAAUAAUGACAUUGGCUGCCUCUUUUUUCUUCAUUAGUACUUCAUGUUGGUGACUGAAGCCUGUUAUGAUGACUUCUUGUCUUCUUGAGACAUAAUGUUUCUAUAAGCUGACUAAUUUCUAUAAUGCCUAAUGUCUGAGUUGUGUUCAUGGUAAUUAUUUCUGACAUUUUUAUGCUUUAUGUUGUAGGUGGUAAAAAAUGCUCUCCAGGGUAAACCGGGUGGACAAAGUAUGUUGGCUGGGAAAACCAGGCAUUCUUCCAUUGGUUCAUGUGCUUCGUCCUACAUCCAAAGGCCACAAGAAGAAUCCAAAACAGCUCAUGUCAAACUGUGGACCAUGUUUUCAGAUAUGUGCAGAUGCAAGCCAGCUUUGAAACCUUCCUCAUUGCCGUGCAACCAGGACAGCCCGUCCUCCUGCAUGUUGGUGAAAACAAGAGCAGCACCAAAGACACUUCACAAGAUCAUCCAAGGUAACUUUUGAUGAACUUUGAAAGCACACUUCUCAUUCAACUUCUGUACAACUUCUGUACAUUAAUCCAGCCUACAGUUUUCAACAUUGAUGUGACUUGCACGACAAUUGAGGAGAUUAAGAUCCUUGCUUUUUCUUUACCUGGCAG
Long non-coding RNA from Poecilia latipinna (sailfin molly), 944 nucleotides. RefSeq lists it as uncharacterized. The record is from RefSeq and is a predicted model, not a curated record. The transcript has 3 exons. Lineage: Eukaryota; Metazoa; Chordata; Actinopteri; Cyprinodontiformes; Poeciliidae.